UGGGAAUCUUGCACAAUGGGCGAAAGCCUGAUGCAGCAACGCCGCGUGCGGGAAGACAGCCCUAGGGUUGUAAACCGCUUUCAGCAGGGAAGAAACUGACGGUACCUGCAGAAGAAGAUGCGGCCAACUACGUGCCAGCAGCCGCGGUGACACGUAGGCAUCAAGCGUUAUCCGGAUUUAUUGGGCGUAAAGAGCUCGUAGGCGGUUCGGUAAGUCGGGUGUGAAAACUCUGGGCUCAACCCAGAGAGGCCACUCGAUACUGCUGUGACUAGAGUGCGGUAGGGGAGCGGGGAAUUCCUGGUGUAGCGGUGAAAUGCGCAGAUAUCAGGAGGAACACCAGUGGCGAAGGCGCCGCUCUGGGCCGUAACUGACGCUGAGGAGCG
RNAcentral lists this ribosomal RNA (383 nucleotides) under uncultured bacterium. RNAcentral's name for it is "bacterial SSU rRNA". It matches the Rfam family "Bacterial small subunit ribosomal RNA", at positions 356 to 755 of the family's 1533-position model. The record is from RNAcentral.